UGGGGAAUUUUGGACAAUGGGGGAAACCCUGAUCCAGCCAUCCCGCGUGUGCGAUGAAGGCCUUCGGGUUGUAAAGCACUUUUGGCAGGAAAGAAACGUCAGGGGUUAAUACCCCGUGAAAUUGACGGUACCUGCAGAAUAAGCACCGGCUAACUACGUGCCAGCAGCCGCGGUAAUACGUAGGGUGCAAGCGUUAAUCGGAAUUACUGGGCGUAAAGCGUGCGCAGGCGGUUCGGAAAGAAAGAUGUGAAAUCCCAGAGAUCAACUAUGGAACUGCAUAUUUAACUACCGGGCUAGAGUGUGUCAGAGGGAGGUGGAAUUCCGCGUGUAGCAGUGAAAUGCAUAGAUAUGCGGAGGAACACCGAUGGCGAAGGCAGCCUCCUGGGAUAACACUGACGCUCAUGCACGAAAGCGUGGGGAGCAAACAGG
RNAcentral lists this ribosomal RNA (429 nucleotides) under Acidobacteriota bacterium. RNAcentral's name for it is "Acidobacteria bacterium partial 16S ribosomal RNA". It matches the Rfam family "Bacterial small subunit ribosomal RNA", at positions 355 to 776 of the family's 1533-position model. The record is from RNAcentral. Lineage: Bacteria; Pseudomonadati; Acidobacteriota.